RNAcentral lists this ribosomal RNA (1215 nucleotides) under uncultured prokaryote. Its description in RNAcentral is "partial 16S ribosomal RNA". It matches the Rfam family "Archaeal small subunit ribosomal RNA", at positions 66 to 1287 of the family's 1478-position model. The record is from RNAcentral.
GCCUUCGGGUCACCGGCGUCAUGCUCAGUAACACGUCGAUAAUCUGCCCUAUGGUCAGGGAUAGCCUUGGGAAACUGAGGGUAAUACCUGAUAUGAGAAUAUGCCUGGAAUGGUUUUUCUUUGAAAGAUAACGCCAUAGGAUGAGUCGGCGGCGGAUUAGGUUGUUGGUGGGGUAAAGGCCCACCAAGCCGAAGAGCCGUAGGGGCCUUGAGAGAGGGAGCCCCGAGAAGGACACUGAAACACGGGUCCUAGCCCUACGGGGUGCAGCAGGCGCGGAACCUCUACAAUGCAGGAAACUGUGAUAGGGGGAUCCCAAGUGCUUACGCUUUGCGUAAGCUUUUGCCAAGGGUAAAAACCUUGGAGAAUAAGUGGUGGGAAAGACUGGUGCCAGCAGCCGCGGUAACCCCAGCGCCACAAGUGGCAAUCGCAUUUAUUGGGCCUAAAGCGUCCGUAGCCGGUCAAGUAAAUCUUUUGUGAAAUCGUACAGCCAAACUGAACGGCGUGCAGAAGAGACUGCUUGACUUGAAACCGGGAGGAGUCAGAAGUAUGCUGGGGGGAGCGGUAAAAUGUUAUAAUCCCCGGAGGACCACCUGUGGCGAAGGCGUCUAACUAGAACGGAUUCGACGGUGAGGGACGAAGGCCAGGGGAGCGAACCGGAUUAGAUACCCGAGUAGUCCUGGCAGUAAACUCUGCGAGCUAGGUGUUGCACAUUCUCCGUGAGUGUGCAGUGUCGAAGCGAAAGUGAUAAGCUCGCCGCCUGGGAAGUAUGGUCGCAAGACUGAAACUUAAAGGAAUUGGCGGGGGAGCACUACAAGGGGUGCGGCGUGCGGUUUAAUCUAAUUCAACGCAGAAAAUCUCACCAGCAGCGACGGCAGAAUGAAAGUCAGUCUAAAGGGCUUACUUGACGAGCCGAGAGGUAGUGCAUGGCCGCCGUCAGCUCGUGCCGUAAGGUGUCCAGCUAAGUCUGGUAACGAGCGAGACCUGUGCCUACAAUUGCUAGCGACGCUUUUGCGGAUUGAGCACAUUGUGAGGACUGCCCUGGGAACAGGGAGGAAGGUGCAGGCAACGGUAGGUCUGUAUGCUCCGAAUCUCCUGGGCAACACGCGCGCAACAAUGGUAGGGACAACGGGAUGCGACUCCGAAAGGAGGAGCUAAACCUCUAAACCCUAUCUUAGUCCAGAUCGAGGGUUGCAACUCACCCUCGUGACGCUGGAA